AAAUCGAGAACAAAAUAGUUUCUUAUUUUCACUUAGGACCAUUUUAUAUGCUUGUCUCGAAAUAAUUUUCUUCGUCAUCAUGAACGUUUUGUUCCGGAAUCUUUGCUAUCCGUUUCAAUUUCGAUUAUCCGUUUUUAUACUGGACACUCAACAUAAAGUAUGAGAUAAUUGCAGCUUCUAGUUUUCCGGGCGCAAAAUCUACAAUACGCAACAUUGGCGAUUACCAGCGUAUCAAGAGGUUUGGCGAGAACUACGGAGUUGUUUACCAGGUGAAGGACCCAACAACACUCAAAAGUAUGUUGCACUCAAACGGAUUAUGCUGUACAGCCGCCGUCCGGGAGAUAUUCCUAUUGAAAGACCUACAGCAUCUCUCGAAUGUUGAGCAGUUCGACGUAGCCGUCUUGGAUUCGAGCAUCUACAUGAUCUUCGGAAUAUUUGAAAAUGGACCUGAAAAAGAUGCUGAAUAAGUACAAACCGUCAUUCAUGCCUGAACUUAGCAAAAGCAACCUGCAUCAAAUGUUGGAUGCGACAGCCUUCUGUCACAUUGGAUUUGACAUCGAGAAUUCAUUAGUGGGUCGUGACGGUCAUGUAAAGCUAACCAGGAAAAUGAUCCUAAUGCGAUAAAUGUUUCUAGGGGCACUCCUGAUUUAAGCAACUGACCCAGUGUUUUGCAACUACCAGAUUACCAAUAAACGUUUACCAGCUGUAGUGGUCAACCAGUGCCAGGAGAUCGUACAGUACAAAGCGCAGGAUUUAUUCCGACAGCUGAUGGUUUACGUUUCUACCAAGAAAAUCGCUAUGAUGCGCGAUUGUACCGCCUUAUUUCGACGAUGUGGGCUGAUUGCGCCGGUAAUACAGCAUCUUUUCGUGGAAUAGGCUGACAAUUGGUUUAACCUUUAAGGGCGAUUCAUACGAUAGGUCAGCUUCCAUCAACGGAAUAGAAAGUGCUUUAUUCUAAAAGAAAAUAUGUGCCCUUUUUUAAGUUUGGCCGUUUUCACUGAAAUGUCAGACGUAAGGUUGCCACUCAGUAAGUCCAUCCGGACUUAUGGCUAGUUAGUAUUCCGGCUCCAGUGACCUAACCGAUUAACCCUUAAAUGCGCAAUGUUGUUUUAAAACAACAUUGCGAAAACCAUCUCAAAAUUAUCAUAGUAACGUAUUAAAUCUGUCAGACAAUUUUCAGAAAAUUUGAAAAAAAUUGCUUUGCGCCUUUAAGGGUUAAAACUAGAAUCGGUUGUGCCACUGUAGUCGAAAUACUAGCUAGGACCAGCUGUAAUUCCUGCAACUUUACUGGACACCAGAGUGGCAGCUAAGAUGGAGCACAUACUGAUAAAAAUCCGACUAAUUUUUUAUUUAAAAUAUAAACGGAUAAACGGUAUCAAAGCAUACAAACGUUUAUAUCACAGACUAACAGACAUAACACUAUGAGGGAAUUCCCUCAAAAAACAUCGAUCCGACAAUUUUCCCAGAACACUAGCUCCACCUUUUAUUCACAGUCCCAUACACUCAUUUACUGGUGGGUUAUCCCUCAGGUUUGGGAAUAAUUUUUCACUAGUGAUCUAUCCCCCAUAUGCUUGUUCAUAUGUCAGUGGCGCCAUAAUUUCAAAUGUGGCCACAGUCCCAACUAUAAAUAUAUUUAAAAUGAACCUUAAAGCGGGCGAAGCUUUGUUUUUGAGUGUUAUGUCUGUUAGUCUGUGUUUAUAUGCCAACUACAUAUGAUUGUUAUAUGUGCAUUAGUUAUGAAAUCAAUAUGAGAUUAAUAUUUCUUGUAGAUUUACGCAUCAGAUGCGCAUGUCAGCAAUAUUUAUAUGCCACCUAGCGGUGCAAAAAUCUUUGUGUUAAUUUUAAGACAUUUCUAGUAUGCUUUUAUCAGAUAUUGUGAACUCAAAGUCGUAAGCAAAACACGAAUCUGUAAUUGCAUGUAAUAGCUAUAGUGAUCUAUGUAUUACAAUUUUCAUUCAAUCAUAAAUACAAUUUACUGUAGGGCAUACUAGAAAAAUAAAAUACUUCAGCUUAAUUUUAUUAUUCAUAAUACAGCCACAGAGCUGUGAUACAGCUUUAUUCUACGUUACAACGGAUCUCUUUUUUGAACAAAUGUGGUUCAAUCCAUGUAGGCUCCCGUUUAAUUUUGCUGUCGUUCUUCAGAAUGCAAAUCACAUUCGUUCGAAAAAGCGGUCUGUAAUGCAGAAUAAAGGACGAUUCAGACGAUACAUCAGCUUCCAUCAAUGCAACGGAACGUCAAGAUUAGUUACAUGCAGUUAAAUGGAAGCAUCCACACAACAUCAAUGCCACGGAACAUUUUGAUGUACGGCACAUGUGAACCGGCACAAGAGAAAAGUAUAAAACUUAUCCUGACGGUACGGUGAUGUUUCGUUGACGUUGACGGAAGCUGAUGUACCGUCUGAAUCGGGCUGCAAUGUACCUAGACAAGCGUCACCUUGAUGCAACCGUGAUAUAACCGGACUACCAACUCGGUUCAGCCUUUUCGUAUUUACGUCCAGCAAUUGUCAUGUCACACUUGCUCCGCAUGGUACUUUUCCUAGUGAUUCAACAUAGUCAAUCGUUAUUAGCUUGACUGAGUCGACAUUUGUUAUUCUUAAUCGAGAUGUUCUCCUUGCGCAGGAUCUAUUACUUAGAUGCUAUGCUUAGAUCAAGUCAAAUCGAAUGUGAUCUCAAUCUGUGGAACAAUUAUUAGAGCAGCUGGGAUACUCAACAGACGAAACUAUCCCAAAUGAUUGUUUAUUUGUUUAUUUGUUGUACCGUCACCAACAGACCCCUUGGCCCCAAUGGUGGUUAAUGUGGAUUGUUGUCAUGAGAUUGCUCGUUCUCGAACAUAGGAUUCGACAAUUCCGUUUGAUUGGUUGUCAUCACACCUCCCGCGGUUUCAAUUCCCAACGAAAGUGGAGCCAGUGUGAAUUUGCGUUUAAUUUUCUCUAUGAAGUGUUAAUAUGCGAAAAUCAAAAUUUUCUUCUCCCAGAUGAGUAUCUCUAGCAAUUCUGGCUAGUUAGUAUCCGGCUCUACUGAAACAUGAUUUUAAUUAGAAUCGGUUGACACUGGAACCGGAGUUAGAGCCAGCCAAAAUUCCGACUGAACUUACUGGUUAAGAUAGAAACGUGUUCGAAAGUUCCGUUCUUUGAGGUUAGGCUUGCAUGUUUGUGUCGUCUAAUUUGCGUCUAAUCGAUCGCUUAGCUAAGUUUUGUCGGUUCAUCGCAACCUGAAUCUUUGCAGCACCGCCAAUCAUCCACUCCGUGUCAAAAAACAUUACAUAGUUGGGUGUUUUCCGGUUGCCUUGCUUGUUGGAAAUUACUUUGUUGACAAAAAGUAACAUUUGACAGAUCAAGGUUCACUCAGCUCAUUAAUGAAUGUGAUAUUAAGCUCUACAAGAUGACGACACGAAUUAACUCAUGAUGAAUAAAGUUCAUGUUUGACAAUUCUCGGUGGUUUGUUUACCUUUUCAGUUGCGUGAGUGCGACUGCAACGGGUGCUCAUCUAUUACAUUCGAACUCACGUAGCUUCCAUGUAAACAAACCACCGAGAAUUGUCAAACGAAGUUCAUCCAGCUCAUUUUGUAAGGGGCCCGUACACGAGGCGUUAGUAAUGUCAUUACUGAGCAGUAAUGCCACUUUUAAUGAACGUGUAAGGCGAGUAAUGAUGGAAUUCCCAUACAAUUCCAGUAAUGACACUACUUAGUAAUGACACUUUUAUUGCUCGUGUAAGGGCUCCUGUAGGGGUAUGUCGGUUGGUGUAAAACCUAAUUGAGUUCUACAAGAUGACGACACGAAUGAACUCAUAAUGAAUGAAGUUCAUGUUUGACAAUUCUCGGUGGUUUGUUUACUUUGUCAGAUGCGUGAGUGCGAGCGCAACGGUUGCUCAUCUGUUACAUUCGAACUCACGUAACUUCCAUGUAAACAAACCACCGAGAAUUGUCAAAAGAAGUUCAUCCGGCUCAUUUUGCGGGGUUAUGUCGGUUGGUGUAAAACCUAAUUAGGACUCACACACUUCAUUUACAGUGUUGCCGAUAAAAUAAUAGAAAAAAUACAAAACAGUGCUGACGAAACGAAUAUUUCGCGUCUCACCAUUCUUGAUUUGAUGAAAAAAAUAUUCAACAUUCUUGCAUUUUGCAAUUUUUAAAUUAUCAUAAAAAAACAGGAAAUGUGCUAGAAACCUCAUUUAAACGGAAAGGUUUAUAAAAAUAUGACAUCUUUCGAUAAAAAAUAAGAAAUAGGGGGUUAGGCGGGUUAGGUCGACGAGAAAGGUCUAUUAAAAUAUUGACUGUUUUAAUACAUCAAUACCAAUUAAAUUCUACAGCGUCAAUAUUUUAGAACCCUUACACCGUUAAUAUAUUGGCAAUUUGCGGCAAAACCAAAAUUAGUCAUGCGACACCUAUGAUUCAGCUCAUGAACUGGCAAAGUGAUACAGUUUGCUUUUUUCACCCGCAAGUGAGUCGUAGCUUACUACUAAAACUUCAUUUUCUUUUCGGAAAAAGCUUACCCCUGCCAAAAUAUGAAUGAAACGAGUAAGAAAUUUAUUUGCAACUAUUCUGAAAUAACAGCCAUUUGCAACUAUUUGGGUCAUACAUUUCUUCGAAAUGUAAUCGGGGUAUUAUUGUGGUUAUAAAAAAUCGUUCUGUAAAUAGAGUUCCAACUCGAAACCGAGACCCAAUCAGUUCCAAUGCCAAACUCCUUCAUAUUUUGGACUACGUAGGAGAUUCAGUGAAGACUAUCAGAGAGAAGGAUCGGCUGUGUAUGAUACAAAGCUCCUAUUAGCCGGAUAUAUUUUUCCUCACGUGAUCUGGAGAGUUUCAUGAAUUUACACCAUCUCAUAAAGGUUUAGCUUAACUUAAGAGGAACGGGAAAUGAUGUUGCGGCGGCUACGGUGCUCAACAAAUUACAUUUCGGAACAGCACACAUAUAGCUUUGUGAAUAAUAUUAGAAAUCACCAUGUUUUACACUCUUUUCGCAAGAUGUUUACUCUUCAUCUUAUAAAAUGAUGGUUUUCCUUCAUUUUCAUAAACAAUUAUCAACAAAUUGCUCGGUGAUUUGGUGUUUAAAAGUUAUUUUUUACCAAUGUUUACAGAAAAUAUAUGCACUAUGACAGAACAGAAUGAAAUCAGCAACACUUUGCUUCCUGCGCUAUCUGUGAGCUGUUUCAACGUAGAAUCGCCAAUUGGUCACCCAGUGCAAUUGUUGUCGUGCGAAUCGGUCUCGAAAAUUUUGAUGGUUCUAUCUACUCCAUUAGAACGAAAAAGAUAGCACGAUGAGCUUCUUUGCCAUCUCGUUCAUGCAUCUUUCGAAUAUGCGCUUCAUUUCUACAUAACCUCAUUAUAAACAAAAAAUACAAAGUAGCAUUCAUGAUUCAGUUCGGUCAGGUCUUCGGGUGUUUGUCUUUUUUCUCGUUUUUCACCAAGUACGCUCGUUUUUCACUAAGACUAAAGAAAAUAGUUUUUCAGCGUGUGAAAAUUCAUUGUAGUUGGUAAAAUAUUGCACAAAACCAACAAUAUACGUUUUUGUUUCGAUGGAGACUGCGAAGUUUUCAACUUUAUAGAUUCGGGGCGGAGUUGCAUUUGCUAUUGUUAAGCCUUACUACAUUAAAGCGUACAUAAACAGACCGCUGGAUGGCAAAACAAAAGUAUCAGCGGGAUAAAUUCACAUUUUUCGAGAAGCUAACGAACGUAUCAUCGGAGGAUAUUCCACAGGACACCAUGCGGGAAAAAAGAAAUGAACCACAACGGCAGCCGAUACACGUCGUUCGCCUUUGCUAGUGGAGGGAUCGCUGGCAGCGGCGGUGCCCGAGGGGAACUGAGCAGUGGAAAUUUGAGCAGAAAGCUGAGUAGUCCGAUGGCAGAGUCGACACAGCUGGACAGCAGCGGUAUCCGGGGGAAUCUUUACGGUAGUCCGGUAGGACAGGUUGGAGUUGGGAAAAGAAGCCUACCUCUCCGUUGCAAAAUAGCAGGACAAAUUUUAGAAGCAGCUGAAUGACGUCCGGGUCCAGUGUGGAUCGAUUGAGUGAUCCUAAGAUUUACACGGAGAGGAGGAUUGGUUAACCGAUUGGUAAAGUACCACGACAAAACGCAAUCGCCGUUAAAUAAGAGUCAAUCGAUGACUAGCCUGUACUCGAAGCCGGGUCAAUUUCAUAUGUGGUGGAGUCCGUGUUUCAGGCUGACACAAGGUGGAACGGGAGGGAGCGUUGCUCAUUCCGGCGGAACCUCAUCUGAAGAUGAUCCGAACACAUAGACACGAGGAUGAGAUUGAUGCGGAAAAUAGUGUGAUUGCGCCUUCGACAGAACUGGAUGCCGAUUGGAUUAAGAAACCAUGUAAGGAACUAUCGGAGGUUGAUUCAGGCGAAGCUGGUACAAAGCAAGCUCGGGAAAUUACAUACACGGCUUCGCCCCCGUGUCGAGGGUCGGCGAAUCAGCAGCUGCAGACGAAGAAAUUAUGUAGUAAAGCCUCGAGCCUGGUGAUGAACACUCCGAAAGUGGAACGCGUAGCGCCCCGACCGGCACGAUUAAAUGUGGAUGUCUUUCUCGACACCGGCAACAUUGAAUGCGACGGUUCCAUUUAGCAUGAUUGAAUCGAGCAAACCGGCAAAAUUAAGUAGAAUUGAUUCCGCUCCUUUGCCACAGAUUACGAGAAUUGUUCCGGAGUUUCAACCGCCUCUGAUGGAAUAUCCGCCACUAAAGCUAACGUUGUUUAACAAGAAAUAUAACGUCCUGGCGCUAAUAAAAAUUUUAAAGCA
Long non-coding RNA from Topomyia yanbarensis, 6732 nucleotides. RefSeq lists it as uncharacterized. Lineage: Eukaryota; Metazoa; Arthropoda; Insecta; Diptera; Culicidae. The record is from RefSeq and is a predicted model, not a curated record. The transcript has 5 exons.